This 825-nucleotide ribosomal RNA is filed under the name uncultured Bacillota bacterium. Its description in RNAcentral is "bacterial SSU rRNA". It matches the Rfam family "Bacterial small subunit ribosomal RNA", at positions 64 to 870 of the family's 1533-position model. The record is from RNAcentral. Lineage: Bacteria; Bacillati; Bacillota.
GAACGCGAAAGGGGCUUCGGCCCUGAGUAGAGUGGCGAACGGGUGAGUAACACGUGGGUGACCUACCUUCGAGUGGGGGAUAACGUCCCGAAAGGGACGCUAAUACCGCAUGACAUCCUGCCUUUGAAGAGGUGGAGAUCAAAGCCGGGGAUCGCAAGACCUGGCGCUUGAAGAGGGGCUCGCGUCCGAUUAGCUAGUUGGCGAGGUAAUGGCUCACCAAGGCAACGAUCGGUAGCCGGCCUGAGAGGGCGGACGGCCACACUGGAACUGAGACACGGCCCAGACUCCUACGGGAGGCAGCAGUGGGGAAUUGUUCGCAAUGGGCGCAAGCCUGACGACGCAACGCCGCGUGGAGGAUGAAGGUCUUCGGAUUGUAAACUCCUGUUGCCCGGGACGAAUGGCCACGACCUAACACGUCGUGUGUGACGGUACCGGGUGAGGAAGCCCCGGCUAACUCUGUGCCAGCAGCCGCGGUAAUACAGAGGGGGCAAGCGUUGUUCGGAAUUACUGGGCGUAAAGGGCGCGUAGGCGGCCCGCUAAGUCGAACGUGAAAUCCCUGGGCUCAACCCAGGAACUGCGUCCGAUACUGGCGGGCUUGAAUCCGGGAGAGGGAUGUGGAAUUCCAGGUGUAGCGGUGAAAUGCGUANAUAUCUGGAGGAACACCGGUGGCGAAGGCGGCAUCCUGGACCGGUAUUGACGCUGAUGCGCGAAAGCCAGGGGAGCAAACGGGAUUAGAUACCCCGGUAGUCCUGGCCCUAAACGAUGAAUGCUUGGUGUGGCGGGUAUCGAUCCCUGCCGUGCCGAAGCUAACGCAUUAAGCAUUCC